GCAGGACGCGGUGGCCCGUGCCUGUAGUCCCAGCUACUCGGAAGGCUGAGGUGGGAGGAUUGCUUGAGUCCAGGGGUUCUGGGCUGUAGUGCGCUGUGCUGAUUAGGUGUCCGCACUAAGUUCAGCAUCAGUAUGGUGACCUCCCAGGAGCGGGGGACCACCAGGUUGCCUAAGAAGGGGUAAACCCGCCCAGGUCAGAAACGGAGCAGGUCAAAACUCCCGUGCUGAUCAGUAGCGGGAUCGCGCCUGCGAAUAGCCACUCCACUCCAGCCUGGGCAACAUAGCAAGGCCCCAUCUCU
This 299-nucleotide signal recognition particle RNA is filed under the name Saimiri boliviensis boliviensis (Bolivian squirrel monkey). Its description in RNAcentral is "Metazoan signal recognition particle RNA (ENSSBOG00000000242.1)". It matches the Rfam family "Metazoan signal recognition particle RNA". From Rfam's summary of the family: The signal recognition particle (SRP) is a universally conserved ribonucleoprotein. It is involved in the co-translational targeting of proteins to membranes. Lineage: Eukaryota; Metazoa; Chordata; Mammalia; Primates; Cebidae. The record is from RNAcentral.